Molecule: ribosomal RNA, 89 nt
Filed under: uncultured Scutellospora
Lineage: Eukaryota; Fungi; Glomeromycota; Glomeromycetes; Diversisporales; Gigasporaceae
Description: partial 5.8S ribosomal RNA
Rfam family: 5.8S ribosomal RNA
About the family: 5.8S ribosomal RNA (5.8S rRNA) is a component of the large subunit of the eukaryotic ribosome. It is transcribed by RNA polymerase I as part of the 45S precursor that also contains 18S and 28S rRNA.
Source: RNAcentral
AAACUUUCAACAAUGGAUCUCUUGGUUCUCGCAUCGAUGAAGAACGCAGCGAAAUGCGAUAAGUAAUAUGAAUUGCAGAAUUCCCGUGA